This 1507-nucleotide ribosomal RNA is filed under the name Helicobacter pylori oki112. RNAcentral's name for it is "bacterial SSU rRNA". It matches the Rfam family "Bacterial small subunit ribosomal RNA". The record is from RNAcentral. Lineage: Bacteria; Pseudomonadati; Campylobacterota; Epsilonproteobacteria; Campylobacterales; Helicobacteraceae.
UUUAUGGAGAGUUUGAUCCUGGCUCAGAGUGAACGCUGGCGGCGUGCCUAAUACAUGCAAGUCGAACGAUGAAGCUUCUAGCUUGCUAGAGUGCUGAUUAGUGGCGCACGGGUGAGUAACGCAUAGGUCAUGUGCCUCUUAGUUUGGGAUAGCCAUUGGAAACGAUGAUUAAUACCAGAUACUCCCUACGGGGGAAAGAUUUAUCGCUAAGAGAUCAGCCUAUGUCCUAUCAGCUUGUUGGUAAGGUAAUGGCUUACCAAGGCUAUGACGGGUAUCCGGCCUGAGAGGGUGAACGGACACACUGGAACUGAGACACGGUCCAGACUCCUACGGGAGGCAGCAGUAGGGAAUAUUGCUCAAUGGGGGAAACCCUGAAGCAGCAACGCCGCGUGGAGGAUGAAGGUUUUAGGAUUGUAAACUCCUUUUGUUAGAGAAGAUAAUGACGGUAUCUAACGAAUAAGCACCGGCUAACUCCGUGCCAGCAGCCGCGGUAAUACGGAGGGUGCAAGCGUUACUCGGAAUCACUGGGCGUAAAGAGCGCGUAGGCGGGAUAGUCAGUCAGGUGUGAAAUCCUAUGGCUUAACCAUAGAACUGCAUUUGAAACUACUAUUCUAGAGUGUGGGAGAGGUAGGUGGAAUUCUUGGUGUAGGGGUAAAAUCCGUAGAGAUCAAGAGGAAUACUCAUUGCGAAGGCGACCUGCUGGAACAUUACUGACGCUGAUUGCGCGAAAGCGUGGGGAGCAAACAGGAUUAGAUACCCUGGUAGUCCACGCCCUAAACGAUGGAUGCUAGUUGUUGGAGGGCUUAGUCUCUCCAGUAAUGCAGCUAACGCAUUAAGCAUCCCGCCUGGGGAGUACGGUCGCAAGAUUAAAACUCAAAGGAAUAGACGGGGACCCGCACAAGCGGUGGAGCAUGUGGUUUAAUUCGAAGAUACACGAAGAACCUUACCUAGGCUUGACAUUGAGAGAAUCCGCUAGAAAUAGUGGAGUGUCUGGCUUGCUAGACCUUGAAAACAGGUGCUGCACGGCUGUCGUCAGCUCGUGUCGUGAGAUGUUGGGUUAAGUCCCGCAACGAGCGCAACCCCCUUUCUUAGUUGCUAACAGGUCAUGCUGAGAACUCUAAGGAUACUGCCUCCGUAAGGAGGAGGAAGGUGGGGACGACGUCAAGUCAUCAUGGCCCUUACGCCUAGGGCUACACACGUGCUACAAUGGGGUGCACAAAGAGAAGCAAUACUGCGAAGUGGAGCCAAUCUUCAAAACACCUCUCAGUUCGGAUUGUAGGCUGCAACUCGCCUGCAUGAAGCUGGAAUCGCUAGUAAUCGCAAAUCAGCCAUGUUGCGGUGAAUACGUUCCCGGGUCUUGUACUCACCGCCCGUCACACCAUGGGAGUUGUGUUUGCCUUAAGUCAGGAUGCUAAAUUAGCUACUGCCCACGGCACACACAGCGACUGGGGUGAAGUCGUAACAAGGUAACCGUAGGUGAACCUGCGGUUGGAUCACCUCCUUUCUA